UUGAGGACUGGGUCAGGAUCGGCUCCCCUGCCAAGGCGAAGGUGCACAAAGAGCAUGCCUCAGUGCCGUUCGAUGACCAGUGCUCCAUCCUGGAGAAGGUACGUACACCGUAUGUACACGCAUUGCAUGAAUGCAAUGAGUUGAUUUUGCUCACAAAAGGGACCUUGUAUUUUUCUGAAUGUUUCUGCAGGAGGCCGUGAACGUGUCCCUCGCCAACCUCAAGACUUACCCCUUCGUCAAGGAACGGCUGGCCAAAGGGACCCUCAAGCUGGUCGGCGCCCACUACGACUUCGUGUCCGGGAAGUUCCUCACAUGGGAGCCUGUAGGGUUCAUAACCUUCAUCCUUACAUUUUCAAUUGUACAUACUGUAUCUGAGACCACAUGGUUUUACCUCCUGGCACACUCCAGAUCCAAACUUCCUAUCCAUUUUCUCUCCUUCCUUGCCAUCGCAAUUAAUUUCUUUCUAAGAAGAACAAAAUCACCACCAAAUCCAACCACAACACUUGAAAUCCGCCCCAUGCAUAGCACUUGAAACCAGCCCCAACAUCUUAAUUGACCUACUUCUCAUCUUCUUCGGAUAUAAGAAGAUUGAACCCUAUCUCCACCGCAAAUACAUAUAUCGCGUUCACCCGCUACAAACUUCUAGUCCAGUUGUCGCCUGGUCCUCUAUCCGCUUCAAUUAGGCUUGCCGUUGCAUCGAAUUUCUAACCUCGUUGGUGCACCAGGCUCGUCUGUGGUGAUGGAUAUGAGGCCAUGGCCAUCGAGGUCCAUCUACCACAAAGAUGCCACUGCCUUUUUCCAUGGCCACCAUGGUUUGCCGAAUCAGUUGUCCCCCGAGGAAGCAAUCAUCAUGUUGGAGUCGUUCUUCUCUACAAAACGUGCUCAAGUAGCCAUCGACAUUCCGCUUAAGCGAUAUAUAUUGUCCACAAAAGCUGUGCUUGACCGUUACUCAUUUUUCAUCAAAUCCCGCGUUGUGCGGUGUCUCUUUCUCUCACUAAAACGAUUGCACAUGUCAUCAUGUUGAUGUUGCUAGUAAUCUAGACAAUGGGGCAGCUCAAAAGGUGAACGAGAGAGAUAUAGAGAGAAAGGGAGGGAGGGAGGGCCACACCGCAUCUAUCCAUCUGACUAUAAGGGGGCAAAAGAAGAAAAGAGGAGAAGAUGAGAAGUUGCAUUUGCCUCCCUGUUAUAUAUCAAAGGAGGGUCAAUGAAGCCGUCCAUAGAUUCCCACACCUCGUCACUCCUUGAGAACCAGAAGCCCACCCCAUCCAGUCCAAGGUCCGUUCCCUCAUCCUCCUCCCUCACCCUCGCCAUCAUCCUUCACAUAGCACACACAGUAAUCUUUGUCCGUCCCUCUGUUUUCUUUUCCUCUAUUGCCAUCAUGAGCCUGCAACUUCUGCUUUCUCCCUAUGUUGUAUUGUGUUGGUGCAAAGAAGAUCCAUCUUCCCCUUUUUGAUCAUAUUUUAUGCAUGCUUUCCUUAUGGUCCGUGGCAAGGAGGCCAAGCAUUGGCAUCAUGCCCCUUCUAUCUCUCUCUACCCCCUCAUGCCCCUUCUCUUUCUCUCUCUACCCCCGUCAUGCUGCAUCACGAUCAUGAGUAUGCAAGUUGGUCUUUCCGGGAUGGCAAAAUGACCGAUGGUUUUCUGGUUGUUGGUCUUGUAGGUGAUGGACGCCGUUGACCGCUUGAAGAGCGGGUUCGAGCAGUUCAAGAUCGAGGUCUAUGAGUAAGUCAUCUCUCUACUUAGAGCUGUUGUUUUUUUAAUUUGUAGCACCCAUGUUUGGUUUAAUAUUUUCAGUUUCAACCACUUGAUUUAUUUUGGGAAUUCUGAGAGCUCCGACUGAUACUGCCAUGUUGUCUUUUUUCUGCAGCAAGAAGCCAGAGCUUUUUGAGCCUCUCAAAUCUGGCCAGGCCCCCAGGGUAUGUGUAGGGAUGAAAAUGGAUCAAAUUUGUAUAGAAUCAAAUCCAUAUAUCACCUCUUAACACAUUUUUAUUCAAAUUCAGUUAUUGGAUACAUAUACUUUUGAAUACAAAUAUAAAACAAAUGUCUUGAAUCUGUAUUUCUAUUCAAAGAUUUACUCAAUUCAACUCAAAUUGUAUAUUGCUAAAUUCAACGUACAUGUAUACAAUUUUACUACUAAAUUCAUCGAUAAACCUUUUUUGCUUUAUCAAUUUUUUAGGUUUACAAACUAUUAUAUUGAAACAUUUGUGUAUAUAAUUUAAAAUGAAUGGUGACAGCUUGUCGCCAUUAGCGGCCAAUUGGCAAGUACUAGUAGUAGUCUGUUGGAUAUAAUCCCUCCAUCCUAAAUAUAUGCAGAAAUCAUCUAUUGAGGAGUAAUUCUUUUUUUCAGUUUAACUAAAAGUAUAAUUUAUUUCGAAAAAAUACUAAAUGCUCAAUCUAAUGAUAUUUAUUAUACACUAUAAACAUUAAUAUAUUUUUAAUAUAAAUAUAAUUAAAAUUUAAAAAUUUGAAGUUUCAUAAAGCGAGAUGUACAGUUAUUUUGGGACAAAAGAAAUAGUCCUAUAAUUAUUUUGUACUACAAAAGUCUGCUCCAUAGGGCACAAGCUUCAACUUUGGCACUACUAGUCAUAGGCUCAUUGCGCAAAGAAAUGGUGGUGGGAGUGGGAUACAUACAUGCUCCUUCUUUUCCCGAUCGAUCGACCUGAUGCUGAUUAUUUUCCUCUGCUGCAUGCAUGCAGUACAUGGUGUUCGCCUGCGCUGACUCCCGUGUGUGCCCGUCGGUGACCCUGGGCCUGAUGCCCGGCGAGGCCUUCACCGUCCGCAACAUCGCCGCCCUGGUCCCAGGCUACGACAAGGUACGUACACACUGACCGUCGUCGCCGACGACACAAAAUGGCCGUCUAUUUCUCCUCGGCCCGGCCGGCCGCCGCCGGCCGGGCAUGACAGAGGAUCGAGGACUGACACGGCCGCGCCUUUCGUAUUCGUCACCUGCAGACCAAGUACACCGGCAUCGGGUCCGCCAUCGAGUACGCCGUGUGCGCCCUCAAGGUGCAGGUGCUCGUCGUCAUUGGCCAUAGCUGCUGCGGUGGCAUCAGGGCGCUCCUCUCCCUCCAGGACGGUGCACCUGACAACUUGUAAGACGCCACCGUAAAAUAUACAAAGUUUCAUUAAGAUAAAACAAAAAUUCUUUUGUACCUCUAUGAUGAUUUUGAUCCCAGCGCAUUUUUAUCUGUUGUUUUUUUUGUGGUGUAUCCAGCCACUUUGUUGAGGACUGGGUCAAGAUUGGCUUCCCUGCCAAGAUGAAGGUGAAGAAAGAGAACGCUUCGGUGCCGUUCGAUGACCAAUGCUACAUUCUAGAGAAGGUAUGUACACCGUACAUGCACGAGCAGUUAGUUGCUGCAUGAAUGGAUUAAUUUUUGCUCACCGGAGAACCUUGUAUUUCUGAAAAUGUUUCUGCAGGAGGCCGUGAAUGUGUCCUUGGAGAACCUCAAGACCUACCCAUUCGUCAAGGAAGGGCUGGCCAACGGUACCUUAAAGCUGGUCGGCGGCCACUAUGACUUCGUGAAAGGAGAGUUCCUCACAUGGAAAGUCUAGAGCUAAGGCACCCGGACGGCCCAACUCCUACAUCAUCAUAAAUUUAUACCACAUAUAUACCUACCGAUAUGCACCCGAUCGAUGCGAAUGCGCGGAGUACUACAUGCAUGUUUUCAGCAACUACAUAUAUACAUACCGGAUCGCCCCAAUGUGAAUGUAAUAAGCAAUAGCAUUUUCAACCGCUUUCAUUUCUAACGCCGAGCUUUUAUGUACUAUAUAUAUAAUAUGAUGCAUAAUUGACCGGCUUGUGGUCAAAAGACAUCAACUAUAAUCCUUUUUUCAUAAUAUUGUUAUGAAGAGUUUACCUCUUUUUUUUGUCAUUAACGGAUCCAGAGAAACAGGCCAGGAGGGCAACACGCCAACACCCUCCGUCCUAAAAUAGAGUGCAUUCUGACAUUUAAGAUGUGUCCCAAAAUAUAGUACAUUCAAGGAACAUGAAGAUAAUAUUUACUUAAAUAAAGUUACGGAAGAGGAAAGUAAUUGAGUGCUUACUAUAUUUUCUAUAAGAAAACUUAGAUUGCAACCUUUAAUCAUACGAAUAAGAUCAUAUUUCAAUAUAUUAGAAAGUUAAGUGAGUAGUACAUGCGUCUAUUGUUUUUUCUCUCUCUCUCUUAUUUUGUCUUAAAUAGCCAUAACGCACUGUAUUGCAGAGCGGAGGGAGUACUUUGGAAGCAUCAAGAGCAAAAUCCAAGGAUGGAAAGCCCCAUAUGAACAACUAAGAUGAUAACUAGAAAUCAUACUCGCCAUACACGAGUACUUUGGAAGCAAGAAGAGCAAAAAUCCAAGGAUAGAAAGCCCCAUAUAAACAACUAAGAUGAUAACCAGAAUUCAUACUCGCCAUACACCAAUAGAUCUAACAAACAGCACUCAAUUCAAAAUGCUUAAUUAGACAAUACAUCAUUAAUGAUAGAAAGGUACUUAAUAAAUAGCUUCCGAUAAUUAAAUGAUCAAAUAUGUUUCACAAUUUCACACCACUUGAACAAGCAUCCUCCAAUCUACAUACAAAAUAAAAUAUCAUGGUUCUUCAAACAACAUGAUAAUAUUAUGGAUUGAAAUGAACUUAUACAACACACACCUUGGUCCCUUGUGUGGCAAAUUUAUCUACAAAUUCUUAAGACCUGUAAGCGGUUACACACUGUCCACACAUGUUCUACGCUUUAAUCAAUUUGAUUGGUUAUCAAACCAUUAUUGAACAAAACCUCUUGAUUAACUUUUAGUUUUACUCUCUUUUGUUGUUCUUUUAGUUUUACCCUCUUUCGUCUAGAGACGACGACUCCUUUCCCUAUUUCUCGCGAGGAUUCCUCUAUUAGGGGACAGAGAUAAGACCAAAUUAACCCCCAUAGGUAACUAAACAGAACCAAAUCUAUCCACUUGUAUCUACUGGGGCUGGGGCCGGGAAGCUUUCCUCGUACCUGCUCCUUGUCAAGCCCUCUUUAGCCGACUCUUCAUCUAGCUAUCAAUCUGACACAAUUGCAUCCAUCCAUCUUUGAUUCUUAUCUUAUACUAGAUAAUGGCUCGUGUAUUGUUGUGCACACACAAAAUUUUAAUCGAAUAACUUUUUUUACCAAAAUGAACUAAAAUAAACUUUUAUAUAGGUAUAAAAUUUAAAUUCAGCAUGACAUAGAAUUACCUAUAUUUCAAGUUUUGAGAUCCUUUGCAAUUGAAAAAAAAGGUAUUACACUUUAAUAAACCGUACGUAUCCACAUAUUGUGUUUUGGUGGGGUUCGAAGCAGAAUCCAUGGUGACCUUUGUGUUACAAGCAUUUUAACACCGACCUAGAUAUCAAAAAUCAAGUCCAAAAUAGUAAAAUUGACCAUAACAGUUGGAAUAAAAACGCAGCUUUAGCUUGAAAUAACUUGCAGGUAUUCAUGAUCAGAUUGAUCAAGAUAUUCAUGAUCAAGGAACGCACAAGGAAAAUGCUGAGUACAACCAAACUUGUACAGUUGUACUUAAGUAACAAUGACCUAUACAAUUGACUUAUACCAUUGACUUUUACCUGUACAGUUGCAAUCAAGUAUGGUACUUAUUUGAAAACAUAGCAAUCCAUUUCAAUGUAAAUGUAUUGAACCUUGAAAAAUAAUUUCGAGGAUUACAUAGUACAACAUAGACGUCUACAACAUGCACGCAUACUCACACUAAUGAAUACACAUACGCAAACCAUACUCAUAUGAGCAUCUCCGAAGAAUUAAGCUGACAGAUCAUCUCGAGAUUCACAAAGUCAUUAAAGGCGUCUCGUUCUCGACGGGGACGUCACCUACCACUGGAAACAUAGCGUCGUUAAAUCUUGAAAUAAAUUUAGAAAAACAUGAGCACCCAUGCUAAGUCGACGAGGUGUUUGGGACUGCUCUGCUCCACUUUUUUCAGCUCCGCUCCACGUUUUUUAGCCAAACGGUUUCAGCUCCACGCACUGAGUUCGAGAAAAAAAAGUGGAGUUGUGAGAGCACCUAAAGAGGUACUCCACGAACUCCAGUUUUUUGUAGAGCUACUUCAUAGUGGAGUUUGUGAAGCAGAGUUCGUGGAGCAGUGCCAAACACCCCCUUAAACCUAGAUGGACAAGUUAACGUGAAAAAAUAGUUUAAUUUGCACUCCAGUCUUAUAGAUUUUUUUUGCGAGGACCAAUCUUAUAGAUCUAUAGUAAUUGAUUUUAUCUAGACAAUGUCUAAUAUUGCCACGUAGAACAAAUUAGCACCACCAGCAGAGAAACUUUAGAAAGAAGAUAUAUAAAUCAUAAGUUAUUCUAACUUUUUAAGUCAAAGCAUAUUAGUUGACCAAUUUUAUAGAAAAAUCUUAAAAGUUUUAUGAUAUUAAAUAGGUAUAUUAUAAAAAUAUAAUUAAUAAAAAUUUUAAUAAUACUUAUUUAAUAUUAUAAAGGUUUUAUAUUAUAUAAUAAAUUUUGUUAGAUUUGAGGUGAGUUGGAAUAAGUUAUAAUUUAGAAUGGAUAUUGUAGCUAGUAGAAGUACUCCCUCUAUUCUUGAAAGAUACAAUUUCUAGAGUUGUCUUAAAUCAAACUUUUAAAACUUUAACCGAAUUUCUAGAAAAAAGGUUAAGAUUUAUAGUAGUAAAUUGAUACCAUUAGAUCUAUCAUAGAAUAUAUUUUUAUAAAAUACUUAUUUUAUGAUAUAAAUAUUGAUGCUUUUUUGUAAAGAUCAUUAAAUUUUAAAAAAAUUAACCAACACGAAUUCUAGAAGUUGAAACUUUCAAUAAGGUCUUGUUUAGUUCACCCCAAAAACCAAAAUCUUUUCAAGAUUCCCCGUCACAUCGAAUCUUAUGGUACAUGCAUGGAGUAUUAAAUAUAGAUAAAAAUAAAAACUAAUUGUACAGUUUACCUGUAAAUCACGAGAUGAAUCUUUUAAGCCUAGUUACUCUACGAUUGGAUAAUGUUUGUCAAAUAAAAACGAAAAUACUACAGUUCCGAAAAUUUUUCAGUUUUCGAAACUAAACAAGGGCUAAAGAGUAGUGUUUAUGACAAAAGGAAAAAAAAAAAGAUCGGCACUUGGCACCCGGCCACCCGCCCUCCACCCUAGGCCCGACGCGACCCGACCCCCACCUAGACCGGUCUCGGUCGGACUCUCGGCGUCUCUCGCCACGCGCGGGCGCGCCGCAAACAGUCCUCCGCCCGCCGUCGUACCACCCCCACCCGUGCUUCCUCCGUCGGUUGGCUGCAACAAGUCGGCAGCGCCGCGCCCGCCUCCCGACGCCCCAAGCCCCCAAUCGCUCCUCCUCCAUUUCCCACCCAUCCAGAAGUCCGCCGGCGCAGAGGGACCAGGGUUCGCCGCCAGCAGAUGCAGUUGCAGGAGCAGGGUUCGCCGCCAGCGCCAGUAGACGCAGGAGCUCGGCGGAUCCACAUCGGAGGCGAGCUGAUCCUCUACAGAAGGUGCCCCGCUGCUCCUCCCGUAGUCCUGCUGCUCCCGUAUUUGAUUAAUUUCUCCGGCUGCGAAUCGACUCAUGGGGGAAGAAACAGUUUUAGACGACAACGCCCUGGCUUUCUCGGCGGGUACGUAAUCCCCGUCCAGGGACGGGGAUGGGGAUGGGGUGAAAGUGAAAAACCCUCCCCUGCGAGGUUUUACGGGGACGAGGACGGGGAUGGGGAAGCGUUCCCCGACGGCGAAUUUCCCGUUGCCAUCCGCUCGUCUGUGAUGCUGGAUACGACGAGGCCAUGGCCAUCGAGGCCCAUCUACCACAACGACGACGGCACUGCCUUUCUUCCAUGGCCACCCGUGGUUUCGCUGAAUCAGUGGUCCCAAACUGUCAUUUUGGAGUCGUUAUUUCUCCUCCUCCAAAACGCGAGGAGUAGCCAUCGACAUUCCGCUCGCUCAGGCGUUUAAUUUUGUCCACAAAAGCCGGGAUCAGCCGUUACUGGGCGUCUCUUUCUCUCGCUGAAACGAUUGCACGUGUCCUGUUGCUAGUAAUAAACUGGACAACGAGCGGGGCAGCUCAACAAGAGGCACAGCCAAACGAGAGAGAGAGAGAGGAGAGGAGAAAGGGAGGGAGGGCCGCCGCGCAUCCAUCCGUCCGGAGAUAAGAGGGGAGUGGAAGAAAAGAGGAGAAGAUGAGCAGCUGACUUUGCCUCCCCCGUUAUAAAAGGGAGGAGGGGGCAGGGAGGAAGCCGUCCAUAGAUUCCUCCGCCUCGUCACUCCACUCCUUGAGAUUUGAGAACCACAAGGGCCACCCCCCACCCACCCUCCAAGGUCCGUCCCCUCCUCCUCCUCCUCCUCCCUCACCUUCAGCACCAUCCUCUCCAUUCCUCCACACAGCAAUAUCUGUCAAUCCCCCCCGUUUUGUUUUCCUCUGUUGCAAUCAGUAGCGUGUACCCUGUAGCUGUAGCUUCCACUUUCUUGCUGUGUCGUACUGUGAUGGUGCAAAGAAGAUUCCUGUUCCCCCUUUUAGAUCACCUUUGUGCAUGCCUUUUCUUGUGGUCCGUGGGCAAGGAAGGAGGCCGAAAAUUGCAUCAAUGCCCCUCCCUUCUCUCUCUGUCUAUACCCCCUCAUACUGCAUCACGAUCAAGAGCAUGUAUGCAAGUUGGUCUUUCUAGGGAUGGCGAACUGACCGGCGAUUUUCUGGUUAUUCGUCCUGCAGGACAUGGCGGACGCCGUCGACCGCUUGAAGACCGGGUUCAACAAGUUCAAGACCGAGGUCUAUGAGUAAGUCAUCUCUCUACUCGAUCAGAGAGCUGUUGCUUUCUGCAGCCCCGGCGUUUGGUUUAAUCGUUUCAGUUUCAACCCCAUGGUGCUUGCUUUUUUUUUUGGGGGGAACUCUGAGAGCUCCGACUGAUCCUGUGCCUGCUUGAUUUUUGUUUUUUUCGCAGCAAGAAGCCGGAGCUGUUCGAGCCUCUCAAGGCCGGCCAGUCCCCCAAGGUAUGUGCUACUGCCAUACUUCGCUCUCUUCUCACCUCCCUUGUACGCCGCUAAGUUUUUCGUCUCUAGCGACUCCGGCCGGCCAGUUUUCGGUUAUCUGUCGUACUCGUAGGUGCUGCUGCUCCCGUGAUCCUCAGCACAGAUCCUGGAUGGUUAAUUAGACAAAACCGUGUUCAGUAAAUUCGGAUUUUCCGUGGGCCUCUGGGCAACGUCCGACUGGCCCACAGAUUUGGUGCUACUCUUGCUUGCUGGUUGCCCAUCUGCCUCAGAGAACCGCGUCGCUGCUAGUACUAGGCUCUGUAGCUCAUCAGUAUCCCUGCAUUGCAAUGCACUAUUCAUCGUCCACCCUGUCGUGUCCCUGGGUGCGCACGCAGCCACGCCGGUAAGGUGAGGUCAAAGUUGCAGUAGACAAAAGGAAACCUUUGUGCCGGUACCGAGGUCAAAGUUGCAGUAGACAAAAGGAAACGGAUUGUCCUAAUUGCACGGCUUAAAACUGAGGUGACAGCUUGUCGCCAUUAUAUUAGCGGCCAAUUGGCAAGUAGUUCUGUUUGGAUAUACUACAUAACUAGUCCUAUAAUUGCUUUGUGCAACAGUGCAAGUCUGCACCAUAGGGCACAAGCUUCAGCUUUGGCACUACCAGUCAUAGCGCAAAAGAAAUGGUGUAGUGGGAUAUACAUGCAUGCUUGCAAAGCAAAAUCCUUCACAGCUCCCACCGGCCACCACUGUGCCGGGCACUAACCCCAUGUGCGGCAUGCUAGCUGGUGAUUUGCAUUUGUUUGGUAAAUUAUUGAGAUGUCGCCGUCCCUAUAUAGGCUCACUUUGCAGAUGACGGAUAUAGUAGUACGUUAGUAUUAGUAUAUUGAUUUUCCUUCAGUUGACUAGUAUAAACCUGGUGCAAGAAUCUUGCAAGUACAGAGUUUAUUGUUUUAAUUUAUAGGAGUUUUGAGCUGGCAUCGAUCCCAUGCGCCUAAUUAGUAAAUACUUCAUGAAAUGCAUGCAUGCAUGGUAUAGCUAGCUGGUUCUACUGGUUUUUCCUACCCAUGAAAAUUACUAGUAGUCAAAUAUUCUUUGUAGUAAAGGAGAAGAUAAAAGCAGUCUAAUUUGGCGUACUCAGUCUGUGGAAAACAAAGAACUACUCUGCACAUUGUUUGAAUUAUAAUGGUCACUUCCACCUACUAGCCGUGUUGAAUUCUUUUUUUGAACAUAUGGUCACUUUCAUCAUUACAUUUGAAGGGGCAGCAACAGAUGGUGGUGACCAGCCAUUUCAGAUGUCUCAUCAUUUCGAUUUUUUUGUUUGACACUCACAUACACAACACAAACACAAAGAGACGUGAACCCCAAGUCUCCUUUACCUUAUAUGAUAGAACAGAAAUAAUGCAAGGGGAGCCAUGUACUAGAUAAGAACAGGUGUGUAUUAGCAUUCAUCAUUCCAUGGCUAAUGUGUGGUCCAGCCAUGAUUGAGCACAGGCCCCACCAUUCACCUCACGGGAUUCUUCUUUCUUCAUCGUCAGUAUAGAAGAGGAGUAGUUGGUUUGGACGUGUCCUCUCCCCUCUCCUCUCACACCCCUUGCAAAAAAGUUAGGCGCAUAAUUGUUGGGCAGCAGGGCCUAUUGGCGGUUGCUUUAGCAUUGAGAACACUGUGUAUUCGCAUCCAUAUCUCACUGGACAUGCCGAUCCUCGAGAAAAUAUGCUUUACUACACUACAGAUGUAUGUCUCAGAGUAUAUAUACACAAAAAAUAGUGGAAGAUGAUUGCAUUACGCCAUGGGUCCUAAUCACCUUUGUAUCCCCGGGUCCCUUUCCAAAUCAUGGCCUCCCAAGUCCCAAGUGUGAGCUAAUCCAAGCCAGAACAAAUAUUCCAGCGUCCUGCCUCCCGAAGACUCCUGAUGGCUGAUGCUGCUCUUUGCCGUCAAAUUAAAGCUUAAUCUGCACUAUUGAUUUGGACACCCACAUCCCAGGGCCACAUAAACCCGUCACAUGAAAUUCGUUAUCUGUUCAUUCACUUAUAUGCAUAUAUGCAGCCUCCCUUUUGCCUACCAACUUGGCCGGAAAUAUUCUUGCUUGGCAGCCGGGAAUAGGAUAGAUAAGCGUGUUUUUCCUUGGCCGCUGAUCUGCCCCGGGAGCACACGGAAACCAGCUUAGAAUAUCCUCGUCGCAACUUGUACUAGUAGCACGGAAGGAACCUUCCUGCAGCCUGGAUUUUGUCCAUCCUGCCCCUGUAAAAAAAAGAGCAUUGGAACAACAAAGACAGGCGGGUCAAAACUCACAAAAGCUGCCGCCUUUUGGCUUUGGUUGCCAGCUUGCAAAUCCACCACAGCCAGAAUCGUGUAGUACUCCACUGAUCAGGACCGAUCUGCCUACCUGCUUAUCGAUAAGAGCCGUGGGAACUGGACUGAAUUUUGCCGGCUCUCCCUCUUUUCACCGACCUCUGAUGGUGAUCUUCCUCUGCUAACACGCAGUACAUGGUGUUUGCGUGCUCCGACUCCCGUGUGUGCCCGUCGGUGACCCUGGGUCUGCAGCCCGGUGAGGCCUUCACCGUCCGCAACAUCGCCGCCAUGGUCCCAGCCUACGACAAGGUACGCGUCCACACUGACCGACGCAUUGGACGUCUAAUUUUUUCAAGCCCGGCCGCCGUGGAACAUUGACGGACGACUAACAUGGUUGCCUUUCGUUUUUGUCACCUGCAGACCAAGUACACCGGCAUUGGGUCUGCCAUUGAGUACGCCGUGUGCGCCCUCAAGGUGCAGGUCCUCGUCGUCAUUGGCCACAGCUGCUGUGGUGGCAUCAGGGCGCUCCUCUCCCUCCAGGAUGGCGCACCUGACACCUUGUAAGUCAUCAUCCCUAGAAUAUAUACAAAUUUCAUUUAGGUUAAGAAACAAGACUCGUGUGCCUCGAUCGAUCUCGUGUCAUGAAUUUGAUCCUAGCAUUGUUGUCCGUUUGUUUGGUGGUGUAUGUACGCAGCCACUUCGUUGAGGACUGGGUCAGGAUCGGCUUCCCUGCCAAGAUCAAGGUGAAGAAAGAGCACGCUUCGGUGCCGUUCGAUGACCAGUGUUCCAUCCUGGAGAAGGUACGUACACCGUACACGCACGAGCUGUUAGUUAUUGGAUGAAUAAUGGAUUGGUUUUGCUCACCAAAGGACCUUGUAUUUUCUGAAUAUUUGUGCAGGAGGCCGUGAACGUGUCCCUCGACAACCUCAAGACGUACCCCUUCGUCAAGGAAGGGCUGGCCAACGGGACCCUCAGGCUGGUCGGCGGCCACUACAACUUCGUGUCAGGGGAGUUCGACACAUGGGAAAUUAAGAGCUAAGCUGCCCGGCCGGCCGCUUAACAACUCCUACCAUCAUCAUAAAUAUAUAUACUACAUACCUACCGAUAUGCACCCGAUCGAUGUGAAUGCGUGGAGUAUUACUCAUGUUUUCUGCAUGCAGCGACAUAUAUAUAUAUAUACCGGAUCGCCCAAUGUGAAUGUAAUAAGUAAUAGCAUUUUCUACCGCUUUUAUUUCUAACGCCGAGCUUUCAUGUACUAUAUAAUGUGUUAUAUGAUGAGUAAUUUGACCGCCCUGUGGUCAAAAGACAUCAGCUAUAAUCCUUUUUUCGCAAUAUUUAUUAUGAAGCGUUUACCUCUUGUACUGCCUUUACUGUUCAUCUUUUCUGUCUCUCUAUGAAAUGCUGAUAUAUGACACCAUUUAUGUGAG
This 12596-nucleotide long non-coding RNA is filed under the name Sorghum bicolor (sorghum). Its description in RNAcentral is "long non-coding RNA (SBIC_LNC005579)". Lineage: Eukaryota; Viridiplantae; Streptophyta; Magnoliopsida; Poales; Poaceae. The record is from RNAcentral.